GAGCAAAUCAACCAGCACAUUUAAGCAGCCUUUUUAACCCUGAGACUUUCCAAGAUUUCUUCUUCACACAGGAAGUUUCUUUAUAUUGUCAGAUUUAGCACUUUGCUCAUGUAAUGAGAUCAGAGCUAGGAUCACUGCUGCACAGUAGAAAGACUUCCUUAAGACAUUUGUCCUUGAAACUGCACCAAACUCUUGGAAGAACCCAGAACCUGCUUUCUCUUUGAAAACUGACCAUUUCUAUUUGAACAAAAAGAAAGACGCUGAAUCUGAGCAAUGCUGGGCUGGGAAAAUAAGGGUGUCUGGGAACGUGUUACCGUGGCGCUUUGARCAGAGUCUCCGCAGACGCCGCUCUUGGAAGGCAGGAUUUGCUGACAUUUUGGCUGUUUCAUUGCCAGAGGAGGCUUUGUGUGUCCCAAAGGAAGUGAGUGAUCUGGCCAUAACAAAUCCUGCCAAAAUAUUUUAACACCGUUACGAUUUCCUAAUGCAAUGCGUAGUGAAUGUGACUAGGAAAGGAUGGUGAGUCCGUGACGGGGAUUUGUUCCCUCUCGCGUGCAGUUGCCCGGYAGAACGAGCACCGAUGAGCCCUGG
This 588-nucleotide long non-coding RNA is filed under the name Dromaius novaehollandiae (emu). RNAcentral's name for it is "lncRNA (ENSDNVG00000002332.1)". Lineage: Eukaryota; Metazoa; Chordata; Aves; Casuariiformes; Dromaiidae. The record is from RNAcentral.